This 443-nucleotide ribosomal RNA is filed under the name uncultured bacterium. RNAcentral describes it as "partial 16S ribosomal RNA". It matches the Rfam family "Bacterial small subunit ribosomal RNA", at positions 338 to 795 of the family's 1533-position model. The record is from RNAcentral.
CCUACGGGAGGCAGCAGUGGGGAAUAUUGGGCAAUGGGCGCAAGCCUGACCCAGCAACGCCGCGUGAAGGAAGAAGGCUUUCGGGUUGUAAACUUCUUUUCUCAGGGACGCAGAAAGUGACGGUACCUGAGGGAUAAGCCACGGCUAACUACGUGCCAGCAGCCGCGGUAAUACGUAGGUGGCAAGCGUUAUCCGGAUUUAUUCGGUGUAAAGGGCGUGUAGGCGGGAGCGGAAGUCAGAUGUGAAAACUGAGGGCUCAACCCUGAGCCUGCAUUUGAAACUGUGUUUCUUGAGUGCUGGAGAGGCAAUCGGAAUGCCGGGUGUAGCGGUGAAAUGCGUAGAUAUACGGAGGAACACCAGUGGCGAAGGCGGAUUGCUGGACAGUAACUGACGCUGAGGCGCGAAAGCGUGGGGAGCAAACAGGAUUAGAUACCCUGGUAGUC